GGUGGUCAAAUUUAACAAUUAUACUUUUAAUUCAAUUAAAUUGUAAACCAAAACUUUAUGGAUUUAUUAAACCUCUUUUAAUUAUACACCUUAAUUAAUUAAUAAAACCAUAAGGGUGUGAUUUGAACUUUUCAAAAACAAUACUAGGGUUUUAGAAUUUAACAUUCCUAAAUUAAACUUUUAAUCAACUUUUAAAUUCCAAAACUUGAGGGCAAGUUUUGAAACAUUUAAAAACAUUAGGGUUUAGAAUUUAAAUAUACAUCAAAAUUAAACUUUUAAUCAAAAUUUAAAUUCCAAAACUUGAGGGCAAGUUUUGAAACCUUUUCAAAACAUUAGGGUUUCAACUAUUUAAAUUUCAAAACAAAACUUUUGAGUUCAAAUUUAAACUAUAAAACCUAAAGGGGAAAAUUGAAAAUUUUCAUAACACAAGGAUCAAAUAACAAAUAAUAUAAAAUAAACAAUUAAUUUCAUCAUUAUCUAUAUUUGACCUAAUUUCAAUUUCUUGCAAAAUAAGUUACCCAAUUAAUACAAACAAUCAAACUUUAUCAUAUAAGGAAGUUAUUAUCUAAUCAAUUGGUAAUUAUCUUUUGUUUAAUCAAGGAUAUACUCAUAAAUAUGUAUAAAAUCGGACUUUAAUGACCUAAAACAGAUAAGGCAAGUAUCCAUGAGUAAAACAGCAAGAAAUCCCGAAAAUAGCUCCAUCUGACGCUCGAACUCGCCGAGUACCACACUGGACUCGCCGAGUUGAGGCCUACUCGCCGAGUACAUUGUGGUACUCAUCGAGUUCAUCAGGCAGAUGGGCCAAAAAUCGAAUUUGCAUCUUGAACAAACAUACAAGGCAUCAAUACAAUAGAAACCAAUCAAUGCUCUGAUACCACUGAUGAGUUUUAUCCAUAAGAACAUCCUAUGUGCUCAUACAAACCCUAAUGCUUGGAUCUAGGUUUCUCUAUUGUACAUGCAAUCCAUCCAAGACUAUAAACCCUAGAUCUAAAAUAUGAUAAUCAAUAUAACAUAUGAAUUAGGGUUUAGAUCAUACCUUGAUUGUUAUGUAGCAAUAACAAUCUCAAAUCCUUCUUGUAUUGACUUUAGAAAGCUUAGAGUCACAAAUGUCACUCCUCUAAUGGUUCACAAACACCAAGAGCAAGAGGAUGAAGAAGAGAAGAGAAGGAGGCUGCCCAAAACGUGUGAAAACCCUAACCAACAAGUUCACCACGUUUUUGAGCCUUAAGGGUCCUAUAAAUAGUGAGGCUAUUAGGGUUAUCUAACAAGGAAACCCUAAUUUGGAUGCUUAAGCCCUAAGCAACCCAUGGACUCCUUCCUUAAAAGGCCUAGGACGAUUUCUAAUGGGUUUCCCCAUAGAGUUCGUCAACCCCUUUAAUAUGGAGUCCAUUAGCUCAAUAUUCAACUAUCAUACAAUUGACAGUUCUAGUCCCUUAAGUUAAUUAAUGUAUUUUAGCCACAAAACUAAUUACUAAUUAAUUCUUGACUAAUAUUAAUUAAACAAUAUGAUUUCUCCUUUAAUAUAUUAUUCUCAUAAUAUAUUAAUAAAUCAUAAUUAAUCAUUUCUCUCCAUAAUGCAUCCUAUCAAGUUGCUUUGGUGAAGGCAACCCAAAAGGACCAUGCACCAUCGGGUCAAGUACAUACCAAAAUAGUUAUGGACUUAGACACUAAUCCAACAAAUAUGAUGAUCAAGGCUAGAGUUGUACUUUUGCUCAACUUCUCCCAGUGUAUGCUUGAACCGCAAUGAGAUAAGCUGAUCUAGCUGUUUUGCCCUUUCAACAUCAGAGGGCCUAGAUUUCUUCACUUCGGACAAAGACUGGAGGAUAGCAUCAAGCUUGGUGUCGAGGCUGGAGACUUUGGCAUUGAUCUUGAAAUCGAGCUUUGCCACAGAUUUGUCUAGGGACUCUACCUUUGAAAUAGUAGCAAUAAUGUUGUCUUGAAGUUCCAACAGGGCAAAUGGAUUAGCAUAGUUUUCGGCUGAUGAUCCAAUGUCUGAGGUGGAACUCUCACACUUAGCUUUGUCAUCAUCUUUGUUGAUUGGAGGUUCUAAAGGAGUAGGAUUGUUUUCUAUUGGAUUUUCUUUGGGAGGGUUCAAUUUAGUUUCACCUCCAAGUGUAUUAUGGACUUGGUCAUUUAUGUGAAUUGCUUCAUUACAGACUCUGAAGAAGACGUCAUCAGUCCUAAGCCAUAGACAAGUCUUGAUGAUCAUGGCUUUUGUAGUGGAUCAGGUGAAGAGAAGAGCAUGGGAGCAACAACGGAUGCGCUGUCAUCAUCGAACAUGAAAUCGGUUGAAUGUUCUUUGUCUGGAUUAGGAUGGAAGGCAUCAUGAUGAGGAGACUUCGGAGGAUCGUCCAAAAUGAUUGUGGUGUGCGGAGCUUCUCCUUAUGAAAAUUCCUGAUCAGUGAUCUCAUUAGUGGGAGGAACAAAGGGUAGGUUGCUUUGAAUGGCUUGAUUCCUCAUUACAAUAAGGUGGAUUCAACCUGUGAAUGAGUGAGCUCUGGAUGUCUUCUAUUAGCCCUAUUGGAAAAAUCUAUCUAAUCUGGAUCGUUAGAACGUAGUCGUCCUUUACCUGAGCUAGGUAUCAGACCAGUUGUGGCUCCUGAAGUUGGAGGGACAACCCUAGCUUCAGAAAGCUUAGGAUCCGAGACAGGGUUCUCUGAUCAUGCUUGUGUGGAAAAAGGAGGGAUACCCGAGAUGACUCGUGAGUGUGUUCCAGGGGGGUGCAAGGAAGUUUUUUCAACAUCGGCAUCAACUUUUUGGGAAGGUGAGUGGAACAUCCCAAAAAUACAGACCAAAAAAUUCUUUUUAAAUCAUUUAGUAAAAACCAUAAUCCAUCAAUAUCAUAAUAAAUCACAAAUCAUAUCCCUCAAAAACAUCAUGUCAAAUACUAUAUCAAGAUCAUGUGAGAAAAAUAUCAGAGUCUAAACAAUCCCAGGCUAAAAUUGUGGUGCAUGCCAUGUGAUCAUCCCGAGCCCUUUCCCUUGCUAGUGGAAGUACCUGGAACCAAAACUGAAAAUUGUAAGCACAAAGCUUAGUGAGUCUCCCCAACUCCCACAUACCAUACAAAUAUCACAUAACAUAUCUUGUGCCCCGCCCCUGCUACAUCGAGUCAAGCUCGGCAUCGGCUUUUCCGGUAUCGGGCCCCGUCCGACAUCGAACCUUACUCGGCAUCGGACCCCGCCCGACAUCGAGCAGAUCUCUUCAUACAUAUAAAAAUAUCAAUAUAUAACAUAAGCACAUAAUACUAACAUGUAAACAUUCCUCGGGCCCCGCCCGACAUUGGACCGUGAUCCGAAAACAUACUAACAUUCCUCGGGAACCGCCCUGGCAUCGGACUGAAGUACGGAACAUACUAUCAUAACAUAUUAACUAGACAUUCCUAGGGCUUGCCCCAACAUCGGUCCUAAGCCCGAAACACAUAACACAUAACAAACACAUGCAAGAAUCAUAAAGACAUCAAGCAUACAAACAUACAAGCAUUCCUCAGGAUCGCCCCGACAUCGGAUCGAAAUCCGGAAAACAUAUAAACCUACUUCGGAUCCCGUCCGGCAUUGGACCGUGGUCCGGAACUACUACUAUCUAAACGAGCCGACCUUGGUGCCUUAGACCCGUUCCUACAGGAGAAAACUCACCUUGCAAGGCUAUCUGUAGAAUCUCGCAGUGAGGAAUAUUUGAUAGCUUUUCCAACGACUCCCCAACUAUCAAUAUCACAAUAAUACUUAGUCAAAAACCUGAUAAUCCUUCUCAAGGUAAAAUAACCAUUUUACCCUUGGUCAAAGUCAAAGUCAAGUUCAACUCUUAGUCAACUCCAACUCGUCGAGCUAUCUCCUUAUUUGGCGAGUUCAUGUACUACUCAGACUUGUGGUCAACCGAGUCAACUCGUUGAGUCCCUUCCCAAACUCAUCGAGUUAUUCCAGUCAUAAAUCGGGACACAACAACUUUAACUCGUCGAGUCCUUCAUUGGACUCGUUGAGUUCUUCAGUUUCCGAGUCCUAAUCUUGCCCAACUCACUGAGUCAUCACCUAGACUCAAAGGUUUCACUCAAAACCAAAAAAGGGUUAGGGGACCAUGACCCGACUCAACGAGUCGCAAGAACAACUCGUCGAUUCCCCCAAAGCCAAAACCAUACAGUUGAUUCUAAUCAAUUUCAAUGCUUCCAACUCAUAGAUCUGGACUCCUUAGACUAGCAUUACACGUAAAGUUGCUAACUUUACGUGCAUGCAUGGUGUUAUGAAGCUAAAAAACCCACCACAAGCUACAAUGGAGGUCUAAGUCAUAUAAUAGGGCCAUGGCUAAAUAUUUGUGCUCCCAAAGCUCAAGAGUGCCCGGAUCUGGAGUCCUUACAUCCCCAAGAGUUUAAAUAUCAUAAAUGACCUUGGAAAUGGCCCAAAAGUGACAAUAUACAAGCUCAAAAGAAGAUCUAAGUGAUUAGAAGUCAAGGUAUAAGCUUUAUACCUCUAUCAAAACAGAAAUGAGUCCUUAGCUCUGGAUCAUCAGCCUCCCCCUGCAACUUCAAGUCCUUUCUUCCUUCUUCUAGCUUUAAAUCACAAAAAUGGCAAGAAAUAGCUCAAGAUCACUCAAGGUUGAUUAGGGUUUCGAGAUUAGGUUUUGGAGGUGAUGGAGGUUGGGGUGGAGGCCAGAUAUGAUGCAUAAAUAGAGUGCAAGCCCUAUAGAUUAGGGUUUUCAUCCAGAUUGUCCUACUCGUCAACUCAAUACUCCGACUCGUCGAGUAGUUCACUUAAAACCUGUGCAUAUUCUGCCUUCUACUCGGCGAGUUAGGGACACCAAAUCGUCGAGUAGUCCUUCCAAAAUGAAUAAAUAAUUGAGUUAAAUGCAUACCAAGAACCAAACGUUACAAUGAGGGUGGAUUAUGCGCGACUCCCCGUGUGUGUGUGUGUGUGUGUGCAAGUGGUGAUAUUUGCAUAUUUAGUUCAUAUUAAGUAUACAUUUUUAUUCAUUUAUUAGCUAAAUUAUUGCAUAUUAUGGACAAAAGGUACUUAAAAGUGUUAAAUUAUGUUUUUCAGUCGAAAGAUGAAGCUCGGAAGCGAAAGGAAGCGGGAGAAACAGUUAGAAGAUCGAGAAUGGAAUAAAGAAGAAAAACAUUAAAAAUGGCACCUACUCGGCGAGUCAGAUCGACUACUCGGUGAGUCCAAUCGAAGAAUCGAGAAGAUAAUGACUUGGGAUCCCAGAGAGUUAUCACAAUACAGGGAAUGUGAGAGGGACUCGACCAGUCACCACUUGACUCGACGAGUCGAUUCGUAUAUUUAAAGAUAAUUACACAGAUCGAUAGAGGAGAGUUCGGGGACGAUUCAGAAGUACUUAGCUACGAUUGAGAAGCCAGAGAAACCCUAGAAGACGACGAAGGAAGCUAGAAUUCAAUCCCGGAGAGUAAUUGAGGCAAAAUUUCAUCAUUCCAUUUAUUCUUUUGUUUUAUCAUUAUGGUUAAGCAACUUGACUUUGUUUGUUUGCUGUUAUUUACUUCAAUUAUGAGCUAAAACCUUUAGACUUCUGUUUGGGGAUACAAAGUUGACAAUAUGGUUUGAUUGAUUGGUAGGAUUAAUUCCAAGUUGGUGAAUUUUUGUUAUUUUAGCUUGCUAAAGAACCUUGUGUGUGAAUAAUAAUUAAUUUUCUGUUAAUAGGAAGAUAAUUGAUUAGCAUGAACAUCUAUUGAUUAUUAACCUCAUAUGCUAUGUGAUCACUAUGCUAUAUGUCUAGGAUUAAUGAAUAUGAAACUAGAAUUAAUAAGAAAAAUUGAGUAAAUUCAUGUGCAAGCUUGUAAGAUGACCAUCAAACAAGAAGUUAAUUAAAAGAAUAAAUUAGUUAACUAUUGCAAGUCUAAUUUAACCCGAAUAAUUAAUCUAGUGAAUAUAAUUAAAUUAGACAAUUGGCCACUGUUUAAGUUAGUUUAUUUGCUAAGGAUUAGGGUAGUGAAUACGAAUCUAAUCACUUGAAUCGGUAACCAACGAAAGAAUUAAUCCAUUGCACCAUUACCUUGAAAUCAACCAUAGAGUUAACCAAGUUGAACUAAACAGAAGUUCCUUUCCAAUUAUGGAAUCUAGUUAAGUCGUUAUUUUCUAGUCUUAAAUUAGUAAUAGUUAGUAAGUUUCUAGUCUUGUAAAACUAGAGAAAACCCCUACUUCUUAAUUAACUUAGAUAAAAUUAGUUUUUAAUAUAAUUUGCCGUUCCCUGUGAUCGAUACCCUGCUUAGUUAGCUAUACCACAAUUGAUAGGUUCACUGCCUUUUGUGUGUUAUUUGAUAAUUAAAAGUAGGUUUAAAACUAAGUGAGUUUGCACACAUCAGUGGUAUUGAAACUAUGAAGGGUACUUCAGAAAAGUGGCUUGGGGGGAAGGGGGUGAGUUGAUGACUAGAGUCAGUCGGAAUGUCAUUGAGUAUUUCCUGUUGAGAGGAAACAUUGACUUUGGCUCUCUUUUUGGUUUUUGGUUUAAUGGGAGAAGUCUUUCAUUUGGCUACCUUCCUUUUCGUGCCACCAGCUGAGACUGGUUUGACCACAUCCGAAGGUUGUUCAACAAAGACUAGGAUGGACUGUGUUGGGUCAUACACAGUCGAAGUCUCUAAAUGAUACUUCAAGAAAGGGGACUCGGAUGGUAAAGUGGCCAACAUAUGGUGAUAUAGUCUACGUAUGGGUCCGAAGGAGGAUUGAUUUAGAAGUCUAUAGAUCCUUAGAACCUUAAAGGAAAGAAAUACCUCUUUUGGCUUUGUGUUUAUCAGAAUGGGCUCUUGUCUCUCUCGGUAGAGUUGUUGAAGUGUGAGAGCCCAGAACCUCGGACUUGAAAUUUCUUGAGGAUUCCUCUUCACAGCAAAUUUCUGAAAGUCUUGCCAUAAGACCUCGGACAGAUCCAUGGCGUUGGUUCUCCCUGAGUAAAUAUUAUACACAACAUAGAGACAAUCUUUGCUCAUCGUUUCCGCCCCUCCAUGCUUGCCGAAGACACCUUGAAGAAUGAGGUGCAUAAGGAUAGUCCAAAGGCCAGAGACUUCAGAUUUCUUGAAUUUCUUGGCCUUGAAUUCUUCUAUGUAUCCAAUCUCUUUCAGAAACGUCUAGAAAUCUUUAGUGGUUGGUUCCUACACUAUAAAACCCUUGGGGUUUUCUAUUAUUCCUAUUACCUUGAGAAAGGUUUUCUUCGUUACUGGAAUGAUGCGAUCUCCAGUGAUCUUGGUAUCUAGCACUCCGUCUUGGAUAUUGAUCCUUUCAAAUGCAUUAUGAAGGAUCCUGAGAUGAAUUUGCAGAUUUAGGGGUUUUUGUGUGUGGAAUGGCGAUGGGAUGGCGAGAGAUGAACUCAAUCAUUACUCUAAUGGAUUUAUCAUAAUCCAUUGGAUUGAGGGAGAAGAUUUUAGUGGUUUCAUGAAGGAAAGGCUCUGUUGAAGAAGAUGAAACAGAUCCUUUGGUGGAUUUCUUCUUUGGAGGAUUUCUUGAGAUUUCAGGAGCACUAUGGGAUGAAGUCAUUGCUGCAAGUUUGGAGCUCGAAGAAUAGCUUUUGCAAAGAGAAUAAGGGAAGAUGAUGAUAAGAGCGUAAAAAAGGAACUGAUGGAUUUUGAAAUACUUUUAUAGUUUGGAGAAUUGGGUCGUGUUGAGAGAAGGUGUAAUGAUUAUACCCGAUUUGCAAAUGGAUCGCAUUAAAUGUGUUGCCAAAAUUGGCAUGUGUUUGACCUGCAAGGAAAAAAGGUGCAAUGACAAUACGUGUGAAUUGGAAAACCGUCGUUUUAGUUGAAAGGAUGUGCACUUUAUCGAGACGUGUGCAAAAGCGCGAUAAUUUAGGAUUAAAAUAUAAUCAUAAAAAAAUAACCGUUUGAGUCAUUAAAGAAAACGUUUCGGAAAAAAAUUAAUGAAAAACCUUUUGAACUUCUUUGAAACGGGAGAUCUCAGAAUAAGGAAAUUCCGAGAUGGAUUGUCAUAAGAUGCUUCUGAUGUGAAAAUGAAAACACUUUACAUGAUAUAGAGUUCGAGAUUGCACAGACUCGGACUGAAUAUCAGAGGUAAAAUGUAAGAAGAUAUUAGAGGACAUAUUUUAAACAUAUUUUGAGAUUCCGAGAUGUGAAGAGUCAGAGCUCAGACAAGGAUAAGAGGUGAAGAAGGCUCAUUACCAUUUCGGACUUGAAGACCGAGUAAAUCAUUUGGCUACCAAUCUUGCUUUGUUUCGAAUAAUUACUCUAGCUUCAUCUAGCUUGUUUUAGAAAACCCAUCUUGUACCAACAAUAGGGUCAUCUUGAGGAGGAGGGACAAGAGUCACACUUCAUUUCUGUCGAAUUCUGUUGACUCUUUUUGCAUGGCUGUAAUCCAGUCAACAUGUUCUGAUGCUUCCUUGAUGGAUUUUGAUUCGACCAUUGAGAUAAAUGUCGAGAAAUGACAUUCAUUUUGGAUAUUAGUAGCAGAGAGAGUUUGUACACCGGCGUUGAUAUUUCCUAUAACUUGGUUUGGAGGAUGAUCCUUUGUCCAUAAAUGUAAUCUCGGAAGCUCCUGUAAAGCUGAUCAUCUGAUAUUAACAAUGGGGUUAUGUAGCUCCCCUAAACAAUUUGAAUUUGUGGAUGAUGCUCCCCCGGAUCUUUUGAACCAGAGAUAUCUAUUUCGUAUUCGUUCGGAAAGUCAAAAAAGUCAACAUCACCGUCGUUGUUGUUCGGAAUAUGAUUGAAUUCAACAAAUUUAUCCACUGCAUCUUGGAAUCCUUUAAGAUUUGAUUCAAGAGAGGGAAGACCAUUCUCCCCCUCAACCUGAGAAGGUUGAAAUGGAUCUGAAUCAAAUGGAGAAAAAGUGAGGGUCGGACCAGAAACAUUUUAGGAAAUUUGAGCUGCAGUUGACGACGGUCUUGAUUGAGAUUCCGAAUCAAGAUUUGUUUUUGAUGGGCCGAACAUGGUUUUAAAGUCAACUUCAUGAAUGAUUUGAGGAUUCGGACAUCCUAGAGUUGGAGCAUCCGACUCCAUGAUGUGGGUUGUGACAUAGGUUGGGCCAGAAUUCCGAACAUAGUUGUCAUCGAAGGUGACAUAAAAAUUUCCUUAAGAACACAAGUCCGACGAGUCAGAACUUGGUAAGCUUUGAUUUUGCUGAGUAUCCAAGGAAGAUGGCUUCAUUGGCUUUAGGAUGAAAUUUCGUGAGUUGAUCAAGGUUGUUUUUGAUAAAGCACUGGCAGCCAAAGACAUGUAGAAAUGAGAUACUCGGCUUACGACCUUUCAUGGCUUCAUACGGUGUCAUGUUGAGGCGUCAAUUGAUGAUGCUUCGAUUUUGAGUGAAGCAGGAAGUGGACACGGCUUCAGCCCAAAGAUAAAGUGGAAGAUUUUCAAAGUUUAGCAUCGAUUUAGUAGCUUCAACUAGAGUUAUGUUUCUUCUUUCAACCACAUUGUUUUGUUGAGGAGUAUAGGGAGCUGAAAAAUUAUGGUCAAUGCCUUUGUCAGAGAGGAAUUUUUCAAUGGUGACAUUAUCACUUCAGAUCCGUCUUACCGGUAGUUUGACAAGAACUUCAAUUCCUUUGAUAAAGUUGAUAAGUUUCGAGGCUGUCUCAGAUUUCAGCCUGAGGAAGAAGACCCAAGUGAACCUUGUAAAAUCAUCCACAAUCAUAAGAAUGUACUUUUUGUGAUGCAGACUUUCUACAGUGUAAGGUCCACAAAGAUCAAUAUGAAUGAGUUCUAAUGGUUCCGAAAUUGAUUUUCCAAUAAUAAAAGGGUGACCUUUUAUGGAUUGCUUCCCACAUUCACAUGCAACACACAAAUGAUCGUUUUCAAACUUGAGGAGUGGCAGACCUCUGACCAUUUCACCGGAAACAAGAUCAUUCAUAUAUCAGAAGUUAAAGCAUGCAAGCCUCCGAUGCCAUAACUAACUGACGCCGGGAACAACUUUUAAUAUUAAACAGAGUUGAGGGUUGGCAAUGAUCAUGUUGAUGUCUUGAGGAUACGUAUUCUUGUUGCAAUCCGAUUUGAUGAGACAUUAUUUUCGGUCUUCUGUCAUAACGUAGCUAUGUUUUUUGCAGAACUCAACCUUUGGUUGGAGUCAGUGAGUUGAGCUACAUUUAUCAAUUUGUGCUUUAGGUCAACUACAUAAGCUACAUUUGAGACAGAGAAAUUACCAUUGGUGAGGAUGACAUAACCUCAAAUCUAAGAGUUGGAGUUGUUUCCAUACGUCAUAUAGCCAACAUUUGGUGAGAAUUUGAGAUCACGGAAAAUCUUUAUGCUCCGUCAUGUGCAUGGAACAAGCGUUAUCGAUAUACCAUAUUGUAUCUUGUUCCGAAGCAUAGAGUGCCUGCAAAAAUCAGUGAAUUUUGGAGUUUUUAGGCUCCGAGUUAGGUUUUGGUACUUGGGCACGGGCUUUUGACUUAUGUUGUGACUUUUGAGCAACAAAUGUCUCGGAGGGUUUGUUCUGAGAUUCUUUUGGAAAGAAGCAAAAAUCCAUGGUCUUUUCAUUGAUCCAGAAUUCAUAUUCAACAACAGGUUGUUUGGAAACAACUUUUCCCAGACCAGCAGUUUUUGGAGCUAUAGGAAUCACAGUGUUACUUGGAGUUGCAACUUCUUUUUUGGCAUUUUAACUUUCCACUCAAAUUUUUGGUUUGAAUCUUUUGAAUUUUUUUUGAGUAACAGUGUUUUUGUCAACUCGUUCUUUGUUUGCUACUUUUGAUGGCACAUUCAGUUUUGAAAGUUGUUAUGGUUUGAAAAUCGUACCAUCAGAUUUAGCAAUGAACACAGUCGAAGUUGUUCGGGAAGAGUUAGUAUUGGUGGGAUGAGUAUCAACCGUCUUUUCCGGAAUGGUACUAACAACCUUGUUUUGAGCUACCGAACUAGGAGGAUUAGAAUGCCUCUUAAGAAUCUAAAAUAGGCGCAAAGGUGUUGUGGCUCCUAGUAGAUGGGCUUACAGUCCGAGAUACUUUCUUCUUAGAAUUCUCAAUGAAUCUGGAGUCAUGUCUUGACCUAAUUUCCUUUUUGAGGGAAUUUUUGGCUUCUAUCUUAGGAUCGACGACAUGUUUCCUAUUUAACUAUGGUUUCUUCCUGGAGCCAGAUGAUGACUUGGAAGAUUGGCCUGCGGAUGGGUUGUUAAAAGUAGGCUUGAUUGGUACAAAGGUUUUUUUUGAAAUCACUUGAGAAUUAGAAACACAAGAGUUAUAUGAAUAAUCUACUAAGAUUUCUUCUUAUACGUCACUAUCAAAAGAUGCCUAGACAAUAUAUGAUUUAUCCGAGUCAGGUCCAGUUGUCUCCGAAAUUAUUUCCUCAAUAACACAAUUGUUAAGAGGAAUGAGGUUCGGAAUUUGAACUACAGUAUGGGUGAUGCUAGGGAGGGAUUUUGAAAUCUGAUUCAGGUCCUGGGUAUCAGAGGCAGAAGAGGCGUGGAAUCAGGACAAUUGACAACUAUGGGUUGAAACUCAGGAAUCAAAGAUGAAAAUCAGUCUGAGUUCUCAGGAAGGGGUGACAAUGAUGAGACAAGAGUAUCUGAAUGUUUGUGCUUCGAAAUGUCUCCCAUAAAAGUUAGAUAUUGUAACUCCUUCAAGGUACAGGCAAUAGGUUUCGAAAACUCGCUUCCGAGACCAGGUGUUUUGGACCAAGGAUGAAGAAAAUUAUGAGUCAUUUGUUCAGUGGCUUCAAGAAUAUCUAUGGCAUGAUGUAAAGCAUCAAUUUUGGCAUUCAGACGUUUGUUAUCAGAAAUUAAAACAUUCCUUUCAGAAUAAGUGAUUUCACAAUUGUCUUUAAGAAUGAUACAAUCAUCUUGUGACAUUACAAGUUCACGUUCUAACGACUCUAUCUUAAGAUUCCUAUCCUCCAAACGUAAUUUAAGACGACUCAAUUCACUUUCCAUAUUCUCACUUGCUUCUAUGGUAGACUCAUAGGAUUUAUAGAUGAUGUUCAUAUCUUUUUGGAUCUGGGUUAGAUAUGGUUCACAAAGAGAUAAAUCAAAAUUAUUAUCAAUAAUCAUUAAUUUUACCUGUUGAAUGAUGCUUCGACCUAGUGGAUCGUUGGUUGCCAUGUAGCAUAAAUUUGGCUAAGUGAUCUUUAUAUGCACGCAAAGGUAUUGAAAAGCCCUAAAAUUUUAUCUAUUUACUUUUUAAUUAAAACAUACCAAACUAAAUUCAUUAAUUCAUGAUGCAUGAUCCCAAAUAUCACUUUGCCCAUUUUACCCUUUGGCUCCAACGCACAAUUCAAGGGAUUAAAUCUCUUAACAAACAUUAUCAACAUCCAAUAAGGUCUAAACUCUAUUACUUUGAAGCCCAAUACUUUUAUUUGAUCAAAUUAAGGUCCAUCUACCCAAAAUCAGAAACAUCCUGAAACUGGAUGUUACACAAGUAGUAUCUAAAUAGACUUUAUCUUGGCUACCGUUGAGAACAUUUCCUUAUAAUCAAUUCUAGUGUAACCUUUGCCACCAACCUAGCCUUGAAUGUAUGUACAUUCCCAUCCAUGUUUGUCUUCUUCUUGAAGAUCCAUUUACAACCUACUGUCUUAAGAUCAGGUGUUUGAUCAAACCAAAUUCCAAACUUGGUUAUCCAUCAUGGACUGAAUCUCAUUGUCUAUAGCCUCUUUCCAUGGAGUAGCCUCAGGGAUCGUCAUUUCUUCCUUGUAUUUAGCCGGCUCAUCUAGAUUGACCAGUGUUCUAUCACUAAUCAACGUGUCCUCAUCCACAGUUAUAUAGAAACCAUAAAACUUGGUUCGCUCGAUAACUCUAAUGGAUAUGUGAAGAGGUAAGGAAAUGUCAUUUGGUUUAAUAGUAUUUUCAACCUCUGGUUGAGAGCUAGUGCCAACUAUAGGCUUACUAUCGCAUGAUUAUUGUAAUUUCCAAAGGUCAAUUUGACUCCCACUAACUUCUUAAGAUAUAAGGUCUCUCUCAAGGAACACUAAUCUUCGAGCUACAAACACCACAUUUUCACUAGGUAUGUAACACAAAUAUCCAAAAGAAUUUUGUGGGUAAUUGACAAAAAACAUCUCUCAGAUCUGGAAUCAAGUUUUUCUUGGGUUUCAUGUAGAACGAAAACCUCAAAACCCAAAACAUUAAUGUGAUUAAGCAAAGGAACUUUCACUAUCCAUAUUUCAUGAGGUGUCUUUGAAACCUUCAAUAUUGGAAAAAGGUUUAGGAUAUGAGUAGUUGUCUCAAUUUCAUAGCCCCAAAAUGUGAUCGGUAAAGAAGCACGACUAAUCAUAGAUCAAACCAUAUAUACUAAGCUCUAAUUUCUCAUUUCAGAAACACCAUUCAGUUGUGGUGUCCUUAGAGGAGCCAAUUGUGAGACUAUUCCAUAAUUCUUAAGAUGAUCGUAGAACUUGAUACUAAGGUAUUCUCCUCCCCUAUCAAAUUAGAGAACAUUUAUCUUCAUGCCCAAUUGAUUCUAUAAUUCAUUUUGAAGCUCCUUGAAAUUUUCAAAAGUAUUUGGCUUUUGUUUAAUCAAAUAAACAUAACCGGAUCUAUUGAAAUAAUCAGUAAAUGUGACUUAGUAGUGUUCACCAUCCCUUGUGGCAGAUUUGAACGAUGCACACACACAUAUGUGCGUAUGAGAUCCAAAAAUCCAUAACCUCUUUCACAUGUCUCUAUGAAUGGUGAUUUAUUCAUCUCUCCUAACAAACAAGAUUCACAUACAUCAUCCUAUUUAAGGUCGAAUGACUCUAAGAUUCCUUCCAAUUGGAUCUUGGCGAUGUGCUUCUUAUUUAUACGGUCAAGGAGAUAAAGCUACAAGCACAAUUUGUCAAGAAAAUUAGAAGAAUUAAUAUUAAAGUUAACAUUGUCAUUAUUAGAAACAACGAUAACACUUUCAAAUAUUCCACCACAAGGGGAAGCUUUAAAUACAAAAUGUAACACCCGUUUCCCGAAGAAGGUUGGACAAGAUCUAAGGAAUAAAAAUAAGAUUUUUAAAGAAAACCCUCUGCCAUGACGUGGGGCAUGGAUGCCCACGAUGUGGCGUGAUAAUAUUUAAUGAUAUGCGUGUUUUUGAGAUACCACGACGUGGCAUAAAGUGGCCACGCCGUGGCAGCCGCUACAGCUCAAAGCCGGGAUUUUUAGGGUUUCCGUCAUAUAUAAACACCUUAAAUCUAUUUAUAAGUUACCUUUUCAGCCUCCACCUCCCCAUCUCGAAAUCCAAGACUCCAUGCAUGCUUUAGAGUCUAUUUCCUUGAUUUUGAGCCUUGUUCUUGGGGUUUUGAUAGAGCUUUGGAAGAGAGAAGUUCAAAAGGGAGCAGGGGAAUAAGAAGCAAGUUUGGAUCCAACAUUCUCUUUAGUUUUCUGAGUUGUUGAAGGUGUAAAGUUCAUGCCUUGACACCUUUUCAUCUAGAUUCAAGGUCUAGGUCAUAUUUGGGUGGUUUUUCCCUUUCUUAGAUGUUCUUGGAGUUUGAAGAACUUAAGAACUUGUGGUGGCUUUCCUAGAUCCUAGAACUUUUGUUGAUUGAUAAAAAAGACCAUACUUGAUGUAUUUCAUGUCCAUGUUUAUGUUAUAGCCUCAUUAAGGACUUAAUAGACUUUAAAUACUAGAUCUAGCUUUGGAAUGCAGCCCUAUUGGAUAAAGUUGGAAACUUUAUCCAUUUAGUAAGUGGGGAAUAGUAUUUUUGGAGGUAUGAGCUUUGAUCUAAAAGGAUUAAACUCUUAAUCAAAGUAACGACAUUUUACCAGUAAUCACGGCGUGGCAAAGGGUAGCCACGGUGUGACGAAGUAUAAAGUCAAGACUGUCUUGUUCUGGUAUUGCCAAGAAGUGGUCCUCAAGGAUAUGCAAUAAAGAGAAUGGAAAUGAUAGAAAAGAUAUGUGAGUUUUUUUUAGAUAAAAGGGCCGCAUCUUGCAAACCUUUAUUGAAAAAACAGAUAAUUUACAUAGUUUUAGAUCCUCUCUCUCUCUCUCUCUCUCUCUCUCUCUCUCUAUAUAUAUAUAUANNNNNNNNNNNNNNNNNNNNNNNNNNNNNNNNNNNNNNNNNNNNNNNNUACAUAUCUAUAUAUAUAUAUAUAUAUAUAUAUAUAUAUAUAUAUUUGGAUAAUACCCGUAAAAAAAGUACUUACCAAAGUACCAAACAUCUACAAGGUACCAAAAUAAGGAUCAAACAAAAAUUCUACAAAACAACCAACUCAAAUACAAAACAAAUCGCAAACAGAUGCUCCGUUAUAAGCCCACUAGGGACAUUAGCCCAUGUAAAGUCCUAUUUAUUACUUUUAUCUCCUUUUCGUUUCUCAGCCCAAACAACUGUCUCCCCAUUUCUUUUUUCCAUGCCCAUAAUAUCCAUUUAUCAUUCAUCAGCCAACACAAUUAAAAUCCAGCAUUCUUUCACACCAUUAGAGUCGAUUGAAAAAGAUAUAAUUCCAUUUUACAAAUUAUUUCAGCCCAAUGGAAAAAUAUAUCUUCGAUCCACCAAAAGAAAAUGGCAUGAAAAAGGUUCUCGGCCCAAAACUCAUUCUAGCCCAUAGACUCCAAAUUAAAACCUUGAGAUAAAGGUUAUCAUCUUUUGUUUCCUCUUCAUCGGUCCAGUCAUUGAUCCUUUUACUCCCAAAUCCAUCCAACACAUCACCAUAAUAUCAUAUGUUUGUGUUAAUAGCACUUUGUAUCUUAAUUUGCCACAAUGAGAACUGACUAGAAACAAGUAGAAAAUAAAGAACGAUACAAUGAUAUCCGUGAAAACCAUUGUAAGAAAAACCACAAUACACACGACAAGUUUUAUCAUAAUCGAUGAAAUGAGAAGUAGAUUAAAAGAGACGGGAAAAUUAAUUUUCUUAUGAUGAUUUGAUAGUAAACUAUAAUUACAUGUAUCGAGAAAACUAAUGGACUUCUAAUGCUUAAUUUAUAACUACCAAAUAUAAAUUUUAGAGAAUUUUUUGCUAAAAAAUAUUAGUGGGAGUCUGACAACGGCUCAAUAUAUUAAUUUUUAUUUAUUUAUUAUUAUUUUUUUUAGUGUAAAGCCAAUACAUGACUAUCAAUUCUAAUAAUAUAACUUGUCUUAUCUUAAAGAUAGAAAAAAUAAAAUGAAAAACCAAGUCACUAGUUGUCAUUACUUAUAUGAGAAAAUAUGUAUAUAUCAUUAUUGAAAAUUUUAUAGUUUUUAUUGAAGUAAUUUAAAAUCGAUUAGUAGGUCUUAUGAACUCUUCAAUUAUAAUGACAAUGUUUGACCUAAAUGAUAGCACCAAACCAGACUCCUAUGGUAUGAAUGGAAAUUGAAAACCAGUAACCAAGAAAGUCAAAGCAGUAUCUGCAGUCGUAAACAUGAACUGAUUUGAUACAUAUCAAAUUAGAGUAACAUCACCAAAACUAUGAGAUGUGGCGAAAAAGUUGAUUAGUAAGGCUUAUGAACUAUUCGAUUAUAAUGGCAACAACCAAGAAAUAACUUUAAUCAUGAUAAUGUAUUUUGAGGAUAACAGAUGCCAACUAUCUCCAUAAUAAUCGACGAGAAAGGGGAAGAAUUCGGUGAGGACAACAAAUCAAUCAUGACCUCAACUUAACAACUACAGGAGUAGCAACGAACUUUGAUGGAAAUACACCACAUUGAUUUGUAAGGAGGUUUAUGUGAAUUAUUUAUUUCACCAACAAACACCAUUGAUAUUCUUGUCAUUGGAAAUUCAGAAUACACCACAUUAAAAAAUUAUAGGAAAGGUAUUUAUGCGAGUUCACUGUUUCACCAACACCAUUGGUAUUCUUGUUAUUUUUCUUUCACUCUUCCCAUUCACAGCAGAUGCCUCCUUUGAAGGUUUGAUCUUCGCCUCUUUCCUCCUCAUUUUCUACAUUUUCUGUAUCUAAGAAUUCCGGGUUGUAAUUCGUUCCUCUUAUCUUUCAUUCUCGUUGUCUUCAUCAUCCUUAUUGGAUUAAAUUUGUCAUAUUUCGUUCGAUUAGGGAUUUAACUAGAAAAACCUAAUUUGGUUUGGGGUUUCUUAAAUAUUUUGCAGUUUUCAAAAUCAAUCAUUAUGACAAGUAGUUCAAGGAUCAAAUCCCACAAGAAAAACAAACAUAGUUCAAGGGAAUGCUCAGAUGUUGACAAGGAUGUGAAGAUGAAAGAGAUGAAUGUCAGUAACGAUGAUAAGGAGAAUGAGGUUUCAAAUAAGGUUUCCAAAGAUUCUUUAGUUUCAGGAGGAAAAGGGAAACUUGGUAAGGAUCUGUCCGGUGUUCAUAGGAAUGGUAAUCUGCUUGAGGAGUAUGCGUUGCCUACAAAGCGGCGGAAAGAAAAGACUAACGGCAAGGAGGAGAAAUUUGAUGUUGCAAACUUAGAUGAUAAGAAGUCGAAUUCGAAGUUGAAGGAGUUCUUAAAAGUUGUUGGUGAAUCAAAAAAACAAUAGUAACAGAAAGCAUGAUGUUUAUAGUGCAAAUGUUGAUGAAAGUAAGAGUAGCAGUCAGUCUAAUGAUGAUAAAGAACCAAAGGAUAAGGAUCGUGGGUCAGAAAAGGAAAGGAAAAUAUUGGUAUAUCACAAUCAACUAUGUAGUUCUUGAUAUGGUUGCUAAUUACGGGGUGUUUGAAAAAAAAAACUUAUUGCUUAUUAGCUUAUUAGCUUAUAAGUUAAUAAGUAAUUGUAGGGUAAUUUAUGAAAAAAUGACUUAUUGAGGUUCCCUACUGGAAUAAUUUAUUUUCAUCCAAACACUUUUUAACUUAUAGUGGUGUGGAACCUAAUAAGUUGUUUUAAAAGGUUUAGCUAAACACUCCCUUAGUAAACUAGUUGACAAGGUAGAACUAUGUAUAUAAUUACAUUAUCUCUUCUUCCAGAGUGGCCUAUAGAAGGAGUGAGAAACAUUGAGUUAGAAAAGGAGCUUGAAAAGAGGAUGAGGAGAAGAGGAGAAGACUACAAGAACAAGGAUAGAUAUCAUGAUGAUGUAAAAGAAAAUAAUGAGAUAUUAAUGUCUACUAAAAGUAGUCGCGUGAAAGAUAUUAAACACAAAUAUAAAGGACAUAGUACAGAGAAACUAGACACAUGGAAGAUAAAAGUAGGGAAAAUGGCGAGAGGGUUAGCAAGAGUAGAGAAGAUGAUUAGUACAAAGGAGAAAGGGAGAAAGACAAUAAACACAAAGAUGAUAAGUACCAUGAAGAUAGUAGAAAGGAUAAUAAGUAUCAUGCUAAUAGAGAUGAGAAACAGAGAGAUAAGAAGUAUAAAGAAAGUGGUGGUAGGGUUCAAAGGAAUAGGGACAACAAGUAUAGAGAAAAAAGAACAAGUGAUCCCAAACACACAGAUGUAGACACAUGGUCCGUUAACACAAACCAUCAGAAGUUGUUUUGUAUUCUCUUGAGCUCUUAUAAUACAAGUUCUCUUUCAUUUGUAAUAACUUUGAAACAUUAGUCUCUUGCUUACCAGUUCGUUAGUACAUCUCAAGGAAGCAUAGUAAGCAUGAAUUAGUCGAAGAAACACUAAGUGGAACACAUUGAUCAAGUCGUCCUAUAACAUUAGACCCUAGUGCUUAGCAAUGAACUGUAGGUUCCAACAAUUGAAUUUGCAUAUAUAAAAAAGUAAAGUUUGUAUAUGCCAAAUGUUAUUUCGGAAACGAAAACAACCAAAAUGAAAAGAAAAAAAAAUGAAAAACUAAAUAUUUGGUAAUAACAUAAAAAACAAGGGUAAAUCCGAAAAACUGCAAAAUCAAAUAAUAUUACAAUUAUAUUUUCAAAAACGAGAUCAAAGUUUAAUGGUUUGUAUGAAAAUUUAGGGUUUUAUAAAUGUCAUACCAUCACCAAUGGCAAAUAUAACCUCUUAAUAAGAUAUAGCAAGUCCAUUAUUUUUCUUUGAAAAGACAAUAGUUUUUCAAUAAAGAUAAAAUAACAUAACGAUUUUCUGGUAAAUGACAAAAAGAAAAUAGCAACUUUUUGUAAUUUUCCCUAGAAACAAUUAUCAAACAUAGUGAAGAUCAAUAAUUAUGCAAUCGACAUCUUUUCCCCUCAAACAAAAAUACUAUUUUUCAAUUUACACUACAUUUACUAUAUGACUAAAAAUGGGGCUGCUCUAUUUCCCUAUCAAACCUACAAAAUAAAAAAUAAUAUCGACAAAUUGUACUAAAAAAUUAAAGAAUGUAUUGGGUGCAUCUAUUAAACAUGUGUGUCAACUGAUUUAAACAUCUUGCAUAAGACGAUCUAUAUAUGUCUUAGCUCAUUCAUGAUAUAUGUCUCAUAAUUAACCCGAAUAAUCAAUUGGCAAAGGUUUGUUAUAUACGGUUUCAAUGGGGGCUUGUAAGAAAAUGACCAAAGUGGUUUCCUUAUAAUCUUCAACAUCUUGAGCUAACUUGGAAAGCGCGGGAGGGAUAGUCAUAUCAAUCUCCGAGAUGCUCUCGACACAGUCUCUCAAUGUAAUUUCUCCUGUACGCAAGUAAUAUUCAAUCGCGUCUUUAUUAUCCUCAUCAACUGCUUCUAUCAGACCGGUUAAGUAACUGGCAACAUCAGUUACCUUCUGUUGACACGUCUUCAAGAUCUUUGCUCUUGAUGGAGAAUUGGUGUUGCGGAUCACGGAGGUGACCAUAGGCAGGAGGUGUACGGAAUUUCUUUUGUUGAGAACAAGAGUUGCUCGAAACGCGUUUUUCAAUGCUUGGUGAUAAUUUGUUGCAUUGUGCACUAAUCUAUUGCAUAGAGGCUUCAAUCUUGCAAAUUCACAAAAUUUACUAUUUGGAGUUGUUGCAUGGCUCAUCACCACCAUCAUGGCAAUCGUUGUUGCCAUAAUGUAAAUGUAUUUACCCAUUUUGGUCAAAAUUUAGAGAAUCAACGUCUAAUCUAAUGAAAAGGAUGAAUCAAGAUGAAGAAAUUAAACUAACAUAUUUUUCUUCUUCCUUGUUUCAAUCAAUCCCGAAAUAGUUUCCCUUACAUUCCAUAUAAAUAAAUUAUGUAACAAUUAACGUCCGUUAAUUUCAUCCCAUAAUUUCUCUCAUUACCACUAAUUCCAUGGCUUAAUUCAUGGUUCUCGUUAAUUGUACAUGUUAUUCAAAAGAUGAUUCAUGUUAACAGGGGACAAAUUUCAGCCACAAAUUUCAAUCCUUGGAAAUUUAGGGAUUUAUUAAAACAAAUUGUUAUUUAUAGUUUUUUUAAUUAAUUUAUUAUUAUUUUAUAAUUUAUUCUUAAACCAUGGAUUUGUUUUGUGGUUAUGAUGAUUUUAUCUUAUACUUUUCUUAUGCUUUAUGAAUCGCUAUGUACGGUAUUAAAAUCUCAAGUAAAGGUUUUAGAAGAUGGUAAGUUCGAAGAUUUAUAACGAGACUAUGGAUCUGUUUCUUUCAAAGAUGCCUGUUCGAAUUUUGGUUUAUUUCCUCAAAUUUGGUCAAAACUUAUUUGUUUUCCUUACAUUUCUUUAUUUACAUAUUACUUAUGUUUGAUAUCUAGGUUUUGUUUUAUUAACAACCUUCUGUGAUACUAAAUCAUUUUUUGAUCUCUAAUAAAGUCAUUUGUUUUUUUUUUCAAAAGUUGGUUUCUAUAGUUUAUUAUUAUUAUUUGAAGUUGUUAUUACGGUAUUAAAGAAAUACUCAAUUAUUAUCUUUAAUAAAAAUUAAAAAUGGUAAUUUGAUAUAAAAAAAUAGAUAUAUUAUAUUGAAGAGAUUGAACGUAGAAAAAAAGUAUAUUUUUAUAAUGUUAUUUUUAAUUAGUAACACCCGUGUUGUUCAGGUUUGAUUAACUAAAGACUUUAGGGGUUUUGAGAAUAAGAUUUUAGAAAAAAUCUACACUCGCAAUGAGUCGGGGGUGCCACGGCACGACCAUAUGUUUUAAUGGUGGCACAAUUUAUGUCUCUCCGUGGAGUGGUGACCGCCUCAACCCAAAACACCACGUCUCGGGACUUGGGUCCUAUUUAAAUACAAAGGAGUUAUCGUUUUAUUAUUGGAUAAUCAUAUUAGAUAUUAGAUAAUUACUAGUUUGUUUUAUUUGAAUUCCAGUUGUACUUCAGUUGUCUAUUGGGAUUAUAUAUAUCCCCUCUUAGUCUAAUACCGAUCAAUCAAUUUUUCCUUUGAAUUACUGUUCUUUCUUUUAGUUCUUUAUGGUAUUAGAGCCAGGUUAUUGCAUCCUAUUAAGCAAUGACAGGAGACACUCCAGCGGGUGCCUUCGGUACCAACACCAACCCGUCAUCAGAUCCAAACUUACAUCCAUCCCACUGAUUAUCCACGACAAGUACACGUCAAUGAAAACCUUGGUGACAACAAUUAUGCUGACUGGUCCAUGGAGAUGAAAGAUUUUCUCCUAGCAAAGAACAGGGCUGGUUUCAUUGAUGGAACCAUUGAAAAGCCGACUAAAGGAAUGAAUGAGUACAGAACCUGGCAACGAAGUGACGCCUUGAUAAAGGGAUGGCUUACUACAGCCAUGGAGAAAGAUAUCCGGAACAGUGUAAAAUACGCUACCACCGCCAAGGAGAUUUGGGAUGAUCUAGAAGAAAGAUUUGAAAAGGAACGUGCACCACGUGUUUAUGAACUGAAACGUGCCCUAACAAUCCUCAGGCAAGGAUCUGAUUCUGUUUCAACCUACUUCACGAAGAUGAGGACAAUCUGGGAUGAAAUUCUCUCUGUUUCACCGACACCAACUUGCACCUGUGGCAAAUGCACCUGCGACAUUGGAAAAAGGCUCGUUGAAUCAAGAGACAAAGAACGUGUCUAUGAGUUCUUAAUGGGUCUUGAGGACACUUUUGGAACCGUGAAAACUCAGAUCCUUAGCACUAAACCUAUGCCCUCACUUGGAGCUACUUACCACUUGGUUUCAGAAGAUGAACAACAGCGAAAUAUCUCAGCUGCCAGAAAACCCAAUGUAGAUGCAUCAGUUUAUCAGAUGCGUGCUCAAAUCACUACCGACAAGAACCCCGUUGAGAAAAGGAAUACUAACCAUGAAGGCAUGAAGUGCAAGCAUUGCGGAAAGAAUGGACACAAUAUUGAAGGAUGUUUCGAAAAGAUUGGUUAUCCGGAGUGCUGGGACACUCGACACAAGACUACUACUGAUCAAAAAAGGACCAAUCGCCCAAAACCAAAGGUAGCCAACGUCGAUAUAGAGACCAGCCCUAUACCUGGUCUUAGUCUGGAGCAAUACACGAAGUUGAUGAAGCAAUUAAAUGAUGUACAAAAACCAGAGGUCAACAUGGCAGGUAAGGUUGAAUUUCAGUUACCUUGGGUGAUUGAUUCAGGGGCAACUGAACAUGUGGCGUGUCAAAAAUCCACUCUCACUAACUUAAUACAUCCACAAGAUGGUGUUCCAGUUAGCAUUCCUAAUGGAGAUAAAAUUCCUGUUAAAGGAAUAGGAGAUGCCCGAUUGCCUAACAACAUGAAGUUGAAUGAUGUUUUAUACAUUCCUAAUUUUAAAUGCAACUUGUUAUCCGUUAGCAAAGUUACCAAAGAUUUUAAUUGCUUCAUGACUUUUUUUUUCGGAUUUCUGUUUCAUUCAGGACUUACACUCGAGGAAGCUGAUUGGCAUGGGGAAAUGUGAAAAUGGUCUUUACAACAUGGAAGGAAACGAUAAAAGGGAGGCAGUCAAGAUUGACUCAGAAAUAUGGCACAGAAGAUUAGGACAUGCAUCUAGCACUAAACUUCAACAUAUUCACUCAAUAGGUAGUACUGUUAGCAUUGAGAAUUGUGAUUCUUGUACUCGUGCAAAACAAACUCGGCUUCCUUUUCCUGAUAGUUCAAUAAAAACUAGUUCUUGUUUUGAUUUAAUCCAUUGUGACAUAUGGGGUGGAUAUCGAGUCCCUUCUCUAUCAGGAGCUUAUUACUUUCUCACAAUAGUUAAUGAUUUUAGUAGACCAACAUGGGUAUAUUUGAUUAAAAACAAAUCUGAUGCAAGUACUAGUUUAAUAGCCUUUCACAAUAUGGUUAAUACACAAUUUGGGAAAAAGAUUAAGAAAAUCAGAAGUGACAAUGGUGGUGAGUUUGUUUCAAAUCACAUGUUGAAAUUUUAUGAAGAAAAUGGGAUUUUGCUUGAAACUUCAUGUGUUCACACCCCACAACAAAACGGGGUGGUUGAAAGGAAACACAGGCAUUUACUUGAAAUAGCUAGAGCAUUAAGGUUUCAAGCCAAUCUCCCAAUAAAGUUCUGGGGUGAAUGCAUAAUGAAUGCUACUUACAUUGUAAACAGGUUGCCCUCAAGAGCCAUUGGAAAUAAAACCCCAUAUGAAAUUCUUCUUGGGCAUAAACCACACUAUGAACACAUGCGUGUUUUUGGGUGUUUGGUAUAUAUCAAAGAAAAUAAAGCGGGAAAGGAUAAAUUCGAAGAAAGGGGGAGACCUUGUGUGUUCCUUGGAUACCCACAAGGACAAAAAGGUUAUCGACUUUUUGAUUUGAAUGACAAAAAGAUUGUUGUUUCUAGAGAUGUUAGGUUUGUUGAAUGUCACUUUCCUUUCCAAAAGGACGAAUCUGAUCAGAUUACAAAGCAGACUUCACAGUCAUCAAAUAACCAACUUGAUUAUAUUCUUGAUGAGCCACAAUACAUCGAGCAGCAACAGCCCAAUUCCGAGGAGCCUGUCGUGCCCACAGCAGACCAGCCAAGGCCACAAAACUCAGAUUAUGAGCAGCCCAAUUACAACAAACUCGACAUUCUGAGAGAACUCGAACUCAACCGAAAAAGUAUAAUGAUUUUGAAGUUGACUUUCCAUCCUCCAUUGACCAUUCUCUCCCCAAGACCAAUACAACAACCUCGACGGUACACCCUUUAUCUAAUUUUGUUUCUUAUAAAUUUUUUUCUAAUGCUCAUAAAACCUUCUUGGCUACCAUAUCUGUCCAAAACGAGCCUAAAUAUUUUUCGCAGGCAGUUAAGUAUCCCCAAUGGAGAGAUGCUAUGCAGAAAGAGAUUUCGGCACUUGAAAGUAAUAACACUUGGACAUUGACCAAACUACCCUCGGGAAAGAAGGUUGUUGAUUCCAAGUGGGUGUACAAAAUUAAAUACAAACCAUCAGGAGAAGUUGAACGGUACAAAGCCAGACUGGUUGCAAAGGGGUUUACACAAGUUGAAGGCGUUGAUUUUCACGAGACUUUUGCACUGGUUGCUAAGUUAGUAACUGUUAGAACAAUCCUAGUUGUUGCUGUGCAAAAGAAUUGGUUAAUCCAUCAGUUAGACGUUAACAACGCUUUCUUACAUGGAGACCUUACUGAAGAAGUUGAUAUGAAGAUCCCACAAGGGUUUGCGAAAGAAGGAUAUUCUCGUGUGUGUCGUCUAAAUAAAUCUUUGUAUGGUCUCAAACAAGCAUCACGCAACUGGUACAAGAAAUUCACUGGUGCGCUUCUCAACAUUGGCUUUCAACAUUUUCGAGCAGAUCACUCUUUAUUUCUCUUUAGAACCAAAACUGUUUAUGUUGCGGCUCUCAUUUAUGUUGACGACAUCAUACUCCUUGGGAAUGAUGUUGAUCAAAUUGAGAAGGUCAAAACCUACCUUGAUGGAAAAUUUAGCAUCAAGGAUCUUGGACCUUUAAAAUAUUUUAUUGGUAUCGAAGUGGCACGUACUUCUGAUGGCAUGGUCCUUAGUCAGAGAAAAUAUGCUAUGGACAUUUUAGCUGGUAGUCGACAUCAAGGAUGUCGUCCAAGUUCGUUCCCAAUGGAGUCAAAUGCUCGGUUCGAUGAUGCAGUUGACUCACUGGUUGUGGAUGCUGGCCAAUAUUGACGACUCAUUGGACGACUCUUAUAUUUACAGGUGACACGACCUGAUAUUGCUUUUGCUGUUAAUUGUCUUAGUCAAUUUGUUUCCUCUCCUCGACAGACUCACUUAGAUGCAGCCCACCGUGUUUUGCGUUAUCUGAAAUCGACUCUUGGUCAAGGCAUUUUCUUUCCAUCUAAAGGAUAUCUUUCUUUGACUGCCUUUUGUGAUUCAGACUGGCUUGGUUGUCCACUUACUCGAAGAUCCAAGAUUGGUUAUUUCAUAACUUUAGGAGGAGCUCCAAUCUCUUGGAAGACGAAAAAGCAGUCUGUUGUUUCUUGCUCUUCUGCAGAAGCUGAAUAUCGAAUUAUGGCGACUACCGUUAGUGAACUUCUAUGGUUGCGUUGGUUGUUGCGUGAUCUUGAGGCACCUCAAUCUGGUCCGACGCCUCUUUAUUGUGAUAAUCAAGCUACUCGUCACAAUGCUAAUAAUCCCGUCUUUCACGAACGAACUAAGCAUGUCGAAAUGGAUUGUUAUUUCGUUCGUGAAAGAGUCGAGCAUGGUGACAUUCAACCGCUUCCCAUUACCACUGUUAAUCAGAUUGCAGAUAUUUUUACCAAACCGCUUGGAGUGGACCGUUUUCGUUUCUUACUUGGCAAGAUGGGCGUUCGUAAUCUUCAUGAUCCAUCUUGAGGGGGAGUAAAGGAGUUAUCGUUUUAUUAUUGGAUAAUCAUAUUAGAUAUUAGAUAAUUACUAGUUUGUUUUAUUUGAAUUCCAGUUGUACUCCAGUUGUCUAUUGGGAUUAUAUAUAUCCCCUCUUAGUCUAAUACCGAUCAAUCAAUUUUUCCAUUGAAUUAGUGUUCUUUCUUUUAGUUCUUUAGUAGUCACUACCAUCGUUACUAUUAAAUACAAAUAAGAAAAUAUAGAGAUGCCUUAUCAUUUUGUUUGCAAAUAAUCCAACUUCUUCUCUUAAUAACAACGACACCAUCAACCACAAACCACCAAAAUAUUUAAGAAUUAUUUUUAUGAGAUUAUGACAUCGUUUUUUUUUAUCGUUUUUCACCUGAAGUCAAAGAAACUGAUUUUAAACCUCAAAUUUAUGUGAAAACUUUAAGCUUUAAUAAUAAUUUGAUCAACUAGAUCCAUUUCACAUAAAAGGAUUAACCAAAGAUAAAGAUUUUUGGGUCGAUAUACAUCUGAUAAAAAAGAAACGUAAUUAUUUUUAGGUCGAUAUGCAUCUGGAAAAUGAAGAACAUAAAGACGUAAUAUGACAUGAGUCUUUUGAGAAAUGUUUGUUGUCAUAUAUUUUUAUUAGUUGUAGAGCAUACAUCCAAAAUAGAAAGCAAAGCCAACAUAAAAUCAUUCGUCAUAAGUACAAGUAUUAGGAGAAAAAGUUAAUAAAGUAAGUUUUUUUUAUGAUUUACUGAAAACUGUAGAAAAUAAAAAUAACAUGUUGAAUAAGGAAAAUAAAAUAAAUGUUUCAUGUCUACUUAAGAAAACAUGCAUAAGGAGAAUUUGCAGAUUGCUUGCUUCUACUAUAAUUGAUAGACAACCCAAUUCUCUAUGGCCUUUAUGUUUUUCUAUUACUUUCAACUGAUAAAUUAUAUUAACAUGUACAACUUUUUAAUUUCUUCUAACCGUAAGCAAUGAAUGUGCACAUUCCCAUGAGCUCAAAAGAAUUGAUAUGGGUAGGUGAUUCUUGAUUUUCUAAAUUUAAGAACUUCAUAAAAUAUCAAAAAUUAAUAUUUUUUUUCAUAGAAAAACGGCAUUUGAUUUCUUAUAUUCUCUUGGAGUCAUCCAUUUAUGCAUACAAUUCAAGAGAAUUUCCUUAAAAGUGCAAUUGGUUUAGAAACAUAAUAAAUCAAGGCAAUCUUUACAACUCAGAACGCUUCUAUUUGGGUUCUUCUUAGUUAAAAAAUAACUUAAUUAAGCAUAUGCUUAAACCCCAAGGAGAAAAAAGAAAAUAAUAUAUUUUAAUAAAAAUAAAGGGGUGUUUGGAUUAGAUUUUUAGCUUAUUGCUUAUAGUUUAUUUGUGGUGGGAAUAAGCAAUAAGCAAUAAGCAUGAGGAGGGAUGCUUAUUAAAAUUAGCUUAUUUAACUUAAUAAACUGAAUUUUAUCCAAACACUCAAAUUAGCUUAUUGUGGGAAUAAGCAAUAAACACUCUUUUUUUUCCUAUCCAAACACCCCCUAAAUAUGCAACGGACUACGCACAAUAUAAAUUUUGCUUCAUUCCAACAACUUUAAUUGCAUAAAAAUACACCAAAGUUCAAACAUUGCGCUAAAACAUCAUAAACAACCAAAGUAGGCUGCUAUAAAUAUCAACAAGAAAAGAGAGAACGUUGUCACACCCUCGGACGAAGGCGGAAACGUUGGUUGUGCAACGUCUUGUUGAUCAUAGUCAUUGAACAUACAUUGAACAGUACAAAGGUAUAACAUAAUGUAACACCGGAUUCCUGGUAUGUAUUUUAUUUAAGAAUUUUAUGUAUUUUCUCUGGGACUCGACGAGCUGAUGGCCCAACUCGUCGAGUAGAUACGGGAUCCGCGGGAAGUUUAAGUGACCCACUCGACAAGUCGGGGACUGACUCGGCGAGUAGGUGUUGUUUGGACAAAACCCUAAAUAUGAGGGAUUGCACCCUAUUUAAACGUCUUUAUAGCCCCAAACCAUCCCCCAUCACCCCCAGGACGUUCCUUCCAAAACCCUAGUCUCCCCAUAAGUGUUCUUGAGUGUUUCUCACCUUUUUGAAGGAUUUUUGGUGCAUCUAGAAGCUAGAAGAAGAAGAGAGAAGUUGAAGAUUCGAGGGGGGAAAAGUAGAUCUAGAAGCCAUCUUCCUUUUUGCACCUUUUCUAGUAAUCAGGUUCUCAACUUGACCCUUUUAUGUGUUAGAUCUUAAAAGUCCCCAAAUUGAUGGUUUUGAGCUCAAAAACCAUGAAUCCUUAGGGAUGAAGCAGUUUUAUCGAUUCAUAUCUCAGAUCUAGGUCUUAGAAUCGAAUGUAUGGCAUAAAGAUGUAAGCUUUAUGGCCAUGAUAGGUCAUGCACCCCUUUAGACUCCAUUUUUGGGUCCAUUAAGCUUAUACUCCCAUGCAUGCACGUAAAGUUCGUAACUUUACGUGCUAGAUCGAUUUUAAAAGAUCAGAUCUAUCUUUUGGAUGAGUGUUGUACAUCAGAAAUCGAGAAAAUAAGACUUGGAUAACAUCGAAUCGACAAGUGUUCUUUGAACUCAGCGAGUCCGAGGCUUGAGUCCUCAUUCUGUUAUGGUUCCAAAGGAACCCAGUUGAGUGUUAGCAGAAGAUUAGAAAAGUCCCAAGGAGUGUUGUGACGUUUUGAGAAGAGCCAUGAUCUAGAAAUCAUAGGACUCGGCGAAUGUAUGAACAGACUCGGUGAGUCCAAGGCGAUCUCCCAACUUUUGAAGAUGAACUCGACGAGUUGUUCAUACAACUCGGUGAGUCACAGACUGGACAUGUUCAUAGGAUGAAGGUGAACUCGACGAGUUGUUCAUAUAACUCGGCGAUUCAGAUGAAGGUUCAUCCGAUGGUAUUAUAGAAGGAGAACUCGUCGAGUCGUUGCUAAACUCGACGAGUAGAGUCGGGAAGGGUCAAAAGAAAGGAAAGGGACUCGAUGAGUUGGCGGCCCAACUCGUCGAGUCAAGUCAACUGGAAGUUGACUUCGACCAAGGCUUUGACUUUAACCACGGGUAAAUUAGUCCCUGUACCCAAAGAUUAGUUAGUAGUGUUUGACUAAGUGUCUGUAUGGGAAUUGUAGCCGAGGAGUUGUCGGAGCACCAGUCAGACAUUUCCCGGUCAGCAUUUCAGCAGUCAACCUUACGAGGCGAGUUACCUUCCAGUAGCGAUGGGUCUACGGCCACAAUGCCGGCCCACCAGUAGGAAUUGUAUGUUAGAUGUCUGUCUUUGUGAUAUUCAUCUAGGUUUGCUACUACUUGAUAUGUUUUAUGUGCUAGCAUGAUAUGUUAUAUGUGAUAGUGGUAGUAGGGGGAAAAUAGCCCCCAAGUUCGGUCGUUAGGACCGAAGGGUAGGUCGGGCGCUCCAGAAUUGUCUGACAAUAUGUUUAUGCUAUGAUAUUAUGUAGUAGUAGUAGGAGGUGAAAUAGUCCUCGUAUGUCAGUCGUAAGGACCGACGGGUAAGUCAAGCACCCCAGAAUGGCUUGACCUAGGAAUUCAGGCACCUAAAAAUUGCCUGGAAGUAUAUGUGUCUUAUAUGGUAGUGGUAGGGGUGAAAUAGUCCCCGGUAGUCGGGCGAAAUAGACCGGCGGGUAAGUCAAGCACCCCAGAAUAGCUUGACCUGGGUAAGUCAAGCACCCUAGAAUGGAUUGACCAGGGUAAGUCAAGCACCCCAUAAUGGCUUGACCUGGGUAGUUAGGCACCCUAGAAUUGUCUGACAGUAUGUUAUUGUAUGGUGUGUGGUAUGAUUGGGGAACUCACUAAGCUUCGUGCUUAGAGUCUUCAGUUUUGUUUUAGGUACCCCUUCAGCGAAGGGGAAGGAGCCGACACGGUAGCGGCACAUCACACAUACACGCAUGAUUUCCGCAUUACAAGUUUUUCUUGGGAUUGUACUUUGAUUUUUCUUUAUCACUAUUGAUGAUAUGGUUUGAAACACGUUGUUACAGUUUUAUAAAGUGAAUUGACAUUGGUAAUGUUUUGGUAAACUAUUUUAUGUGUUACUUAAUUAAAAAUGAAAUUUUUACCCUUGAAAAAUUGGGAUGUUACACAUAAACAGUGGUAGUAUUAUUUCUGAAAAACGAUUAUAAUAAUAUUCAAAGUUUCCAAUAGUCUAAGCUUCAAACAUCAGGCUACAAACUACAAUAAUGUUCUAUGGGAUAUAUCUGAUGGGUUUUGGUCAUAAGACAUCCUAUGUGCUCAUACAAACCCUAAAGCUCGGAUCUAGGUUUCUCUAUUGUACAUACUUUGAAUCCAAGACUUGAACCCUAAUUCUAGCAUAUGGAAAUCAGAAUUCACAUGUAAAUAGGUUUAAGAACAUACCUUGAUUGUUAUAUAGCAAUAACAAUCCAAUUCCUCCUUGAAUUGACCUUGGAAAGCAAAGAGUCACAAGUGUCACUCCUCUAAUGGCUUACAAACACCAUAAGCAAGUGGAGAAGGUAUAAGGAGAGAGGAGGGAGGUUAGAAUUCGUAUUUGGGACCUCUUGGGAAGGGAUACCCGAAUUCAUAACCCUUGGGGUUGUUUAUAUAGGUGUAGAGAUAGGGUUUCAGUCAUUAUCCUUAUCUAGUUGAUUAUCCAUUAAGCAACCAAUAAGAUAAUCCUUGAAUCCUUAUCAUACUCGAAUUCUAAGGCUUUCCAACCUUAAAUUCGUUCACCACACUUAUAAGAUAAUCCUUACCUUAUUUUGUAACUAUCACAUAAUUACAAUUCAGCCCCUCAAGUUUAAUUAAUUACACUUGAUCACAAAAUUAAUUCUCAAUUAAUUAUUGACCAAUAUUAAUUAAACAAAUAUGAUUUCUCCUUUAAUAUAUUAUUCUUAUAACAUAUUAAUAAAUCAUAUUAUCCUCUCUCUCUAUAUAUUUCUCCAAUCAAGUUGCUUUGGUGAAGGCAACCCAAAAGGACCAUGCACCAUCGGGUCAAGUACAUACCAAAAUAGUUAUGGACUUAGACACUAAUCCAACAGUCUCCCACUUGGAUAAGUCUAAUAACUAUUCUGCGUAUGACUUCAGAUCCCGAUCUGCAAUCGUAGCUUUCCAAAGCCGCUGUCAACUCUGAUCAUAUCAAAUACGCGUGUCCUUAGAUAAGGGAUCAUAUAUUCCUCCAUUCUAGAUAUCAUAUGAGAUAUGAUUUCAAAUCAUUCUCUUUGUACUAUAUCUCGAUUUCCGAUUUAUGACGACUGACUAAUUGAACAAAUCAAAUUAGCCCUAGCCCGGCCGAGCAUUUACGUUUGUCAUCACUAAACCAUCGAGGGGCCCAAAGAUAUCGCUUUUAUCCUACUUUGGAUAAAAGGAACGGAUAAACUUUGAUACAAUGCUUGCUUGCACUCACGCACCGAAUCACACACAACAAUAUGUUUUAUAACACCAAGUUACUAGUGCGUUUACAUAUUAUCAAUGUGCAACCGAUUUGCAAGAUACAACUCACACAUCUCGGUUUCAAGAAUAUAAGAUGUUAUCGUCUCACCAAUCACUCGUGAUACAAUUCAUGGAGUGAUCCAAGUGAGCGUGGGUUUAAUCCAAUGCUCAAAUCAUAUUCAUAAGCACUCAUGAACGUUGCAGCAAACAUUUGCUUAUGUCUAAUACUCUUUUAGACAAUCCACACACCAAUUCACGACAGUCUUCAUUCAUAUCUACUUCCAACAUAUGAACGACUGUGGCCCGUUUGAAUAAUUCGAUUAUUCUUAAUAAACUCAAUUAUUCUGGAAGUCAAAACAUGCAAAUGUGAAACACAAGAAUAAUACUAAUCCCAUAUGGCCUCAAACCUUUGAGUAUAAAUAAAACACCUUUUAUUUAUCACCAUAUUGAUUACUCAUUAUUUGUCGUUUCGGGUAAUCAACUUCUUACUUGAAUUACAACACUUGUCCCAUGCUCCUAGCAUGCACACAAUGUUUACCUAUGGUUCUUACUUUGUGAAAUAGAUCACAUUGAACACAUUUCCAAUCAUUCUCAUUUCACAACUCCAAAUCCUUUUUCUAAGUGAAAGAAUAUCAAAUUCUUGCUACUUAUAGAAUAUGCUAGAUUCUAACAUUCUAUGCAACUUAUCCUUUCGUAAUGUCACUGCACCAAAGUCACAAAGACUAUUGCCAAUGAUAUUACAAAGUCCUCUAUCGGAGAUUGUUACAAGACAAUUCCAUAGACGUGAUGUCUCUCACUCAAAGUACAUUCUUUGAACAUCCUUUUGCAUAGAAGUUUCUAAUCUAGUCAUAGAUUUCUCAAUAUUCAAUUCCCAAUAUGGACACACUUCCAUAUGUUCCAUAUGACAACUCAUUCUUAAUAGAAUCUUAUCUAUUCGUAAUGAUGUCGAUAUGGUCCAUCCAAUAUGGAAACAUUUCCAUAUUUUCCAAUACUAUACUUCCAACUACUCACAAGCGACCAAUCCUCGUCGAACUUUGGAUUGUCCUUUGAUAGUUGUUUAAUUGUUUUAGUCAAAACCAAUUCUAGUCCCUUUUCCCUCUAAAUGCGCUCGACAUUUGGAAAAUUUUAGAAUGGUCAAACAUUAAAGCAUUUGCAAUCGAUCCUAUACCCGAAGCGUAUGGGACACGACGCAUAAUGUUUUAUUUGCUAUGUUCUCAAAAUUCGAAUUGUGAAGAGGGAUGCCGUAAUCAUAAUCGAAAUUUUAAGAACACACUUUGUACCUUUGACUAAAUUUUAUUAACAUUUCUCAACCUAAACCUUUAGAUUUGAAAUGAAGCAUAAUAUUCUCUCCCUUAAUUAUAGCAAAACAACUCUUCAACUAUUGCGACUUUGCAAAGUAUGACUCUUGUUUUCUAUAAUUAAUAUUGCUAACCUUGCAAUACUUUCCUUAAUAAUCAUACAAUCAUAACUUUUAUGCUCCCACUAUCUUGAUGAUUAUUAUAAAACAUAACACUUAUGCUCCCACUAGCUUCGACAUGUAUUCAUAAACAUCUUAACUUUCAGAAAAAAAAUGCUUAUUGAAUUUCUUAAGUUCAUGUUUCUAAUACUUAGUGCUUUGAUAAUCUUUUAUCAAGGCUUCUUGAACUUAUACACCUUUGCCUUCGAUAGUUCAUAUGUGUGUCUAAACAAUUAAGACUAAUUGCCAAACCUCACAAUUCAAAUUAUGGAAAGGGAUGCCGUAACCAUAAUUGAAUUCGAGAAUGCAAUUUUACAAUCACUAUCUUCUUAAAAUCUGUCUUAGUGAAAGCAUUUCCUCACAAUCAUUUUCAUGAAGGAGGAAAUCUUAUGACACUUAGAUUUAAACGGUGUAUUUGUUCCUAUCCAUGUGAAUUUGUCAAAACCAAAGUUUACGACAAAUUCAAACUCUUAUGGAUCGAACUUUCUUGAUCUCGAUUUCUUGCCUUUAUGGUAGCACAGCUGCCCACCAUGUCUUCCAAGUAGUUAAGCAGCUCACCCUUUCCUAUCAAUGUACCUUUCAUUGAUUAAGGUGCUUUGCCUUUUAUGCGUUCAAAAUGAGAACUCAUAGAACUCACAUGCAUAAUUAACUCGAUUGGAUUGGCACAGAAUCAAAAUAAUGUCAACACGAUAGGUUGUAAACCUCAACUCGUGUGCUAGUGAUGAUCGAUAAGGUUUAUUUGAUUUGUUCUUGAAACCUUUCAAGACCAUUAAGACUCCCACUGACUCCUUGACAUAUAAGAUUCUCUUGUCAAAAAACAUUUCUUGACAAACAAAUAUUCAAGAGUUAGUGUAGCUUUUAUCAAAACACUUCAUAAAUUGGUCCUAGUUGGUCUUUGUCUUAUCCAAGACAUCACAACUUUCCACAUUUAAUGAAAGUUACAAACCUUCUUAAUACCUUUCACUCAAUGUCACAAUCUUAACUUUAAGACUUGUUAUUGGAACGAAGUAUGAUUGACUUAUUGAUUUAACCAUUUCUUCAAUUCUUGAUUCCUCUUCUUAGACAUACAAUUGUACUAAGACUCACUUAGAGGAUCAAUUGAGAUAUGGUUCUUAAUCAUUAAGACCUAUCAUAAAGCAUAAAAGGUACUCUCCCUUCUUCUUAGAAUGGAGAAACUUUUAUCUUUCUGCCUACUUGAUUCUUCUUAUUCGUUCUGCUAUUGAUUUAAACCUUUUCAAUCAAUUCAGAAUUACACUUAAUCUUAUAAGUAUAAUCAUAUUUACUAAACCUUUAGUAAAUCAUGACGAAUAUCUUUGUUACUCUUAUGGUGGACUUGAUCAACACGCAACUUUGUGUACUCGAUCUCCUAGUCCUUCACUUGACACUUUGUCAAUGAAUUAGUCUAAUUUCCAAAUAUGAAAUUUCUCAUUCAUCGUGCAACCAAGUUGCAUGAUUCCAAGUUUCUGUCCAAUUGAAACUUGGGCGAUGAGAAACUCUCCCUAUUUGGUAAAUUCUCGACUUUCCAUAAAUAACAUAAUAAGAACCAAAUCCAUUAUUGCUAAUAAUAGAAACAUUUUAACAUCAAUUUUUCAUACACGCCAUUGUAAGGAUAAAUAAAUAAAAUUUAAAAUCAAAAUUUAUUUUAUUGCGGAAAAAUUUGUCCUUACAAUGCAACUCAUUGAAAAACUUAUGCUAAUACAUCUUUCUUAGCAAUCUAAUUCUAACUCUAAGUAGUAGCUCAAGAAUCUAAUCUUCGAGAAAUGCGAUCGAAAUCCAUUCCUUCACGGUUAGAUUCUGCUCACUUCUUCCCUUAAGCUUCCUUUCUUUUCUUCGAUCCUACAAAACAUCAAUUGUAAUCUUAUCACAUUAUGUAUUAAGAAUCUAGAAUAGAAGCUUAAAAGAGUUAGUUAAUGGAUUUUACCUAUAUUAGAGCCAUACGUUUCGACUCUCCCAUCUCUUAGAUCUCUUAGGUAAAUGGGGCAGCUUCGUCUCCAAUGCCCUUUCUCUUGGCAAUAAAAGCAAAUUGACUCUUUUGGAACAUGACAUGGAACUACUUCAGACAUUGCCUUUCUCUUAUGAUCAAACUUUUCGAUCAUAGCAUGUCUUUCGUUGCCAUUGUCUAUAUCCAUAGAGGUCUUGAAGGCAGAUUCACCAAUCAACUUUGCUUUUCUAUUGCGCCAAACCAUUGCUGAUUCAGCAGCAAUAAGCAUAUAGGUGAGAUCUAUAAGGGUCACGUCGCGGUUCAUCAUAUAGUACUCUCUUACGAACUCACUAUAUGAGUUAGGAAGUGACUGAAGAACCCAAUCAACAGCCAUUUCCUCACAGACAACGGAUCCCAACAUUCUUAACCUAUCAAUGUGUGACUUCAUCCCUAGGACGUGUGCACACACCGACUUUCCUUCUUUAUGUUUACUUGCCAAAAGGGCUUGAGUGAUCUUGAACUUUUCAAGCCUUUGAACUUGUGGGUUAGGGAGAAUAAUUGGAGGAGGUGGAGGAAGUGAAGCAUGAUUUCUUGUUCCUCGAUCGAAUCGUGGAAUAUCAUCUUCAUGUGGAAUGCUUGUUCCACGGGAUUUGGGAAGACCAUAGUUGUCGAACUUUGACAUCUACAAAACGGGAGAAAACGAAUUCAAGUUAGUUGAUUGAUUGAGUCCUUAGUAAAUCACCCAAAUGAGAUACUAAGGCUAGGACCCAACACAAUAUUCUACAACUCGGGAGAGGGAUGCCGUAACCCAAAUUGCAGAACAUUUGAAGGUAAGUGAAUGACGAUUCACUAAUUUCCACCAUGAAAAACGAAAAAGAAAUUUAAGUUUUAAAUCUAUGAAAACUCCUAGAUCCUUUGAGAUUCAUUGAACAUUUCAAUGGCAUGUUUAAAUCUCGAUAUGCCCCUCUUGUUUGUGACUGGGAUGCCGAGGAUCACAAAGCGGGUGUGAAUAACCAUGCAAACUUACAUGGUGCCCUCACAUGUUACAGUCACCUAUUCGAUGUGCCGGUAAACCACACACGCUCCACCGAACUAUGACAAACAUUGAGUCACCCUUUGCUACCUUUGCUUAGAACCAUUUAGUGUGCCGGUAAACCACACACGCUCCACUAACGUCUUCGCAAGGGCACAAAGUGUAAUUUCAUGGAAUUGCAUCAAUUCACUUUUGCCUAAGUAACUAAGAUUGGGAAUUUUAUGAAAACAUUUAGUUACUUUUAUACUUCAUUAUACUUAUAAUGGAAGGUUUCGUCCUAUCCUACCCGUUCGGCUAACGACCCUCCACUAGUCAAGAGUGCGGUGGGUAAGAGUGGAUACCCAUUCAAUCGCCAUUUUAUAGGCAAUUUCCUUAAACACCCCUUAUAGACCAGCUUCGUGAAUGAGGCCUACUAACGGUAAGACUGACUUUUACUCAUACAUAUAUAUAAUGUUAGACUUUUAAUGUUAUAUAUAGUAUAGGGUGUAUUUUACACUUUUAAAAUACUAGGUGGUCAAAUUUAACAAUUAUACUUUUAAUUCAAUUAAAUUGUAAACCUAAACUUUUAUGGAUUUAUUAAACCUCUUUUAAUUAUACACCUUAAUUAAUUAAUAAAACCAUAAGGGUGUGAUUUGAACUUUUUCAAAACUAUACUAGAGUUUUAGAAUUUAACAUUCCUAAUUAAACUUUUAAUCAACUUUUAAAUUCCAAAACUUGAGGGCAAGUUUUGAAACAUUUCAACACAUUAGGGUUUAGAAUUUAAAUAUACAUCAAAAUUAAACUAUUUAAUCAAAAUUUAAAUUCCAAAACUUGAGGGCAAGUUUUGAAACCUUUUUCAAAACAUUAGGGUUUCAACUAUUUAAAUUUCAAAACAA
RNAcentral lists this long non-coding RNA (35729 nucleotides) under Lactuca sativa (garden lettuce). RNAcentral's name for it is "long non-coding RNA (LSAT_LNC006230)". Lineage: Eukaryota; Viridiplantae; Streptophyta; Magnoliopsida; Asterales; Asteraceae. The record is from RNAcentral.